CCUACGGGAGGCAGCAGUGAGGAAUAUUGGUCAAUGGGCGCGAGCCUGAACCAGCCAAGUCGCGUGAGGGAUGAAGGUACAGAGUAUCGUAAACCUCUUUUGUCAGGGAACAAAGGCGGGGACGCGUCCCCGGAUGAGUGUACCUGAAGAAAAAGCAUCGGCUAACUCCGUGCCAGCAGCCGCGGUAAUACGGAGGAUGCGAGCGUUAUCCGGAUUUAUUGGGUUUAAAGGGUGCGCAGGCGGUCUGUUAAGUCAGCGGUCAAAGCCCGGGGCUCAACCCCGGCCCGCCGUUGAAACUGGCAGUCUCGAGUUGGAGAGAAGUAUGCGGAAUGCGCGGUGUAGCGGUGAAAUGCAUAGAUAUCGCGCAGAACUCCGAUUGCGAAGGCAGCAUGCCGGCUCCACACUGACGCUGAGGCACGAAAGCGUGGGUAUCGAACAGGAUUAGAUACCCCUGUAGUC
This 459-nucleotide ribosomal RNA is filed under the name uncultured bacterium. Its description in RNAcentral is "partial 16S ribosomal RNA". It matches the Rfam family "Bacterial small subunit ribosomal RNA", at positions 338 to 795 of the family's 1533-position model. The record is from RNAcentral.